This 160-nucleotide ribosomal RNA is filed under the name BTEX-degrading bacterium enrichment culture. RNAcentral describes it as "partial 16S ribosomal RNA". It matches the Rfam family "Bacterial small subunit ribosomal RNA", at positions 347 to 519 of the family's 1533-position model. The record is from RNAcentral.
GGCAGCAGUGGGGAAUAUUGGACAAUGGGCGAAAGCCUGAUGCAGCGACGCCGCGUGAGGGAUGACGGCCUUCGGGUUGUAAACCUCUUUCAGCAGGGACGAAGCGCAAGUGACGGUACCUGCAGAAGAAGCACCGGCUAACUACGUGCCAGCAGCCGCG